AUUGAACGCUGGCGGCAUGCUUUACACAUGCAAGUCGAACGGCAGCGCGGGCUUCGGCCUGGCGGCGAGUGGCGAACGGGUGAGUAAUGCAUCGGAACGUGCCCAGUAGUGGGGGAUAGCCCGGCGAAAGCCGGAUUAAUACCGCAUACGACCUGAGGGUGAAAGCGGGGGACCGAAAGGCCUCGCGCUAUUGGAGCGGCCGAUGUCGGAUUAGCUAGUUGGUGGGGUAAAGGCUUACCAAGGCGACGAUCCGUAGCUGGGCUGAGAGGACGACCAGCCACACUGGGACUGAGACACGGCCCAGACUCCUACGGGAGGCAGCAGUGGGGAAUUUUGGACAAUGGGGGCAACCCUGAUCCAGCCAUGCCGCGUGCGGGAAGAAGGCCUUCGGGUUGUAAACCGCUUUUGUUCGGGAAGAAAUCCUCUGGGCUAAUACCCCGGGGGGAUGACGGUACCGGAAGAAUAAGCACCGGCUAACUACGUG
This 484-nucleotide ribosomal RNA is filed under the name uncultured bacterium. RNAcentral describes it as "partial 16S ribosomal RNA". It matches the Rfam family "Bacterial small subunit ribosomal RNA", at positions 28 to 507 of the family's 1533-position model. The record is from RNAcentral.